RNAcentral lists this ribosomal RNA (253 nucleotides) under uncultured bacterium. RNAcentral's name for it is "partial 16S ribosomal RNA". It matches the Rfam family "Bacterial small subunit ribosomal RNA", at positions 524 to 776 of the family's 1533-position model. The record is from RNAcentral.
UACGUAGGGUGCGAGCGUUAAUCGGAAUUACUGGGCGUAAAGCGCGUGUAGGCGGCUUUGCAAGUCGGAUGUGAAAGCCCACGGCUCAACCGUGGAAGUGCAUCCGAAACUGCAUGGCUCGAGUCUCGGAGAGGAAGGUGGAAUGCUUGGUGUAGAGGUGAAAUUCGUAGAUAUCAAGCAGAACACCUGCGGCGAAGGCGGCCUUCUGGACGAUGACUGACGCUGAGACGCGAAAGCGUGGGGAGCAAACAGG